Molecule: ribosomal RNA, 217 nt
Filed under: uncultured bacterium
Lineage: Bacteria
Description: partial 16S ribosomal RNA
Rfam family: Bacterial small subunit ribosomal RNA
Source: RNAcentral
ACUCCUACGGGAGGCAGCAGUGGGAAUCUUGGACAAUGGGGGCACCCUGAUCCAGCCAUGCCGCGUGAGUGAUGAAGGCCCUAGGGUCGUAAAGCUCUUUCGCCNGUGAUAUAAUGACAGUAGCAGGUAAAGAAACCCGCGUACANCCGUGCCAGCAGCCGCGGUAAUACGGAGGGGGUUAGCGUUGUUCGGAAUUACUGGGCGUAAAGCGCGCGUA